GUGUCAGCAGCCGCGGUAAUACGGGGGGUGCAAGCGUUGUUCGGAAUUAUUGGGCGUAAAGAGCGUGUAGGCGGCUUGACAAGUCAGAUGUGAAAUCCCUGGGCUUAACCUAGGAAGUGCAUUUGAAACUGUCAGGCUUGAGUAAGGGAGAGGAAAGUGGAAUUCCUGGUGUAGAGGUGAAAUUCGUAGAUAUCAGGAGGAACACCGGUGGCGAAGGCGACUUUCUGGCCCUAUACUGACGCUGAGACGCGAAAGCGUGGGUAGCAAACAGGAUUAGAUACCCCUGUAGUCC
This 292-nucleotide ribosomal RNA is filed under the name uncultured bacterium. Its description in RNAcentral is "partial 16S ribosomal RNA". It matches the Rfam family "Bacterial small subunit ribosomal RNA", at positions 505 to 796 of the family's 1533-position model. The record is from RNAcentral.